GCCCGAGUAGCUCAAUGGCUAGAGCGCCGCUCUUGUAAAGCGGAGGUUGUGGGUUCGACUCCCACCUUGGGCU
Molecule: transfer RNA, 73 nt
Filed under: Acidimicrobiales bacterium
Lineage: Bacteria; Bacillati; Actinomycetota; Acidimicrobiia; Acidimicrobiales
Also listed under: 2 other names
Description: tRNA-Thr
Rfam family: tRNA
About the family: Transfer RNA (tRNA) molecules are approximately 80 nucleotides in length. Their secondary structure includes four short double-helical elements and three loops (D, anti-codon, and T loops). Further hydrogen bonds mediate the characteristic L-shaped molecular structure. tRNAs have two regions of fundamental functional importance: the anti-codon, which is responsible for specific mRNA codon recognition, and the 3' end, to which the tRNAs corresponding amino acid is attached (by aminoacyl-tRNA synthetases). tRNAs cope with the degeneracy of the genetic code in two manners: having more than one tRNA (with a specific anti-codon) for a particular amino acid; and 'wobble' base-pairing, i.e. permitting non-standard base-pairing at the 3rd anti-codon position.
Source: RNAcentral